GACGAACGCUGGCGGCGUGCUUAACACAUGCAAGUCGAACGGAAAGGCCCUGCUUUUGUGGGGUGCUCGAGUGGCGAACGGGUGAGUAACACGUGAGUCACCUGCCCUUGACUUUGGGAUAACUUCAGGAAACUGGGGCUAAUACCGGAUAGGAGCUCCUGCUGCAUGGUGGGGGUUGGAAAGUUUCGGCGGUUGGGGAUGGACUCGCGGCUUAUCAGCUUGUUGGUGGGGUAGUGGCUUACCCAGGCUUUGACGGGUAGCCGGCCUGAGAGGGUGACCGGCGACAUUGGGACUGAGAGACGGCGCAGAGGGCUACGGGAGGCAGCGGUGGGGAGUAUUGCACAAUGGGCGGAAGCGUGAGGCAGCGGCGCUGCGUGCGGGAUGACGGCCUUGGGGUGGUAAACCGCUUUCGGCUGUGACGAAGCGGGAGUGACGGUAAUGGGUAAAGAAGCACCGGCUAACUACGUG
Molecule: ribosomal RNA, 468 nt
Filed under: uncultured bacterium
Lineage: Bacteria
Description: partial 16S ribosomal RNA
Rfam family: Bacterial small subunit ribosomal RNA
Source: RNAcentral